GUGAGUUUCUCUGUGAGUUUCCCAUCACGUCGUAGCUACUCGGUGCUUGUUGGAAGUUUAGGGGUUUUUUCGCUGUAAAAAGAAGUUUUCUUCCCACGCACAGCGGACACUAAUGUUUUUGUCACUUUUUAUGGAAUCAAACUCAAAGUAAGGACUCGGCACCCCCCAAAUGGUCUGCUGACCAUGUUAACAACUGCUCAUCUGACCUGAACCCAAUCCAGAAUUUGUGGGAUAUUGUCAAGAGGAAGAUAAGAAACCCAAAAAUACAGAUGGGUUGAAGGCUACUUUCAAGGAACCUGGACUUCAGUAACAGCUCAGCAGUCCCACAAGCUAACUGCUACAUGCCGCAUGACUUUGAUAGAGUAAUUUGUCAUGAAGGAGCCCCAACAAAAAAACUUUCAGAAGCUGGACGUUUCUUCCAAAUCCUUUUUUGAUUGGUCUUAGAAAUAUGUUCUAAUAACAUGCUGGAUUUCACGUAAUCAUGGGAUAUAUAAUAAUAACAAUGACAACAAAAGUUCCAAUCCUCUAAGUUGCCUCUAACAGCUUGAGUGUUGAUUUCUGUGCCAAAGACUCAAUUUUCUGUGAAAACCCAAAGGUCCUGACAUUGAUGCUCCCUCCUGUGUGCCAUGCCUCACUCCUCACUUCUACUUUCUCACAACUGUGUAAGUAAAAGACACACUAGAACAGGGAUGGGGAACUCCAGGCUUCAAGGGUCAGUGUCCUGCAGGUUUUGGAUGUGUCCUUCAUCCAACACAGCUGGUUUAAAUGUCCUGAAGUUCUCCAGAGGCCUGGUGAUGAACUAAUCAUUUGAUUCAGGUGUGUUGACCCAGGGUGAGAUCUGUCCCUCAAGGACACCUUCCCUCGAGGCCUGGAGUUCCACACCCCUGCCAAGAAGAUUACAAAUGAAGUCCACUACAUCAACAAUCGAUCAGCUCACAGCACAGUCAAUCAACACAAACACCAAACAAACAGAAAAGAAAACAGGUCUGUCUUCAGAUAGUAGCUAUGGUGAAGGGCUCACUGCCAACCUGAAGAAGUGUGUAGAUGGACAGCGUUAGGUACCUGGAUUGCCACUUGCACAGAGAGGUCUAUAUUUUCUUACAGGACAAAAAUUUACCCUAAUCCAGUCUCUAAGAGAUGAUGUGAUGAAUCCUGCUUCCGGGUCCAGACUACUCAGCGUUUAAUAAGGCUCUUGUGUUUUUAACAUGUUUUAAUGCUCUGUAUCUUGUUCUAUUUAAUCUGAACAAGCCCCUAAAGCAGUCAGUGAUCACUGUCGGCCUCUCUCGGUUUUUAUUAACCCUGUUCAUUUUAAAGCUCAGUUUUUAAACCCUUCCGAUGUAACUGCAGCCCAGCCCAUGCAGCAGUAUGUUAUGACUAACCUCGUAUUGUGGAUGGAUUAGGAUGACCAUGUUUUGAUUUCCAAAAACGAGGACACUUAGCUCAGUCAUGAAGAAACAUAUUUAACAUAUUUAAACCAUGCCUUCUCUGUGAGGUUAAUGAAUUGUGAAAUAAAAUAUGUCAUAUUGUGGCGGACCACCAGGUGUCUUCACUCACACCCAAGUUGAAGGGAAGUGCUGGGGUGGAGAUUUUGGCGCUUACUGUAUGUGAAGUUCUACAGAGUCAGUUAAUAAAGCUGGAAUGAGAC
Molecule: long non-coding RNA, 1645 nt
Organism: Astatotilapia calliptera (eastern happy)
Lineage: Eukaryota; Metazoa; Chordata; Actinopteri; Cichliformes; Cichlidae
Source: Ensembl